This 267-nucleotide ribosomal RNA is filed under the name uncultured bacterium. RNAcentral describes it as "partial 16S ribosomal RNA". It matches the Rfam family "Bacterial small subunit ribosomal RNA", at positions 524 to 790 of the family's 1533-position model. The record is from RNAcentral.
UACGUAGGGUGCAAGCGUUGUCCGGAAUUAUUGGGCGUAAAGAGCUCGUAGGCGGUGUGUCGCGUCUGCUGUGAAAACUCAGGGCUCAACUCUGGGCUUGCAGUGGGUACGGGCACACUUGAGUGCUGUAGGGGAGACUGGAAUUCCUGGUGUAGCGGUGAAAUGCGCAGAUAUCAGGAGGAACACCGGUGGCGAAGGCGGGUCUCUGGGCAGUUACUGACGCUGAGGAGCGAAAGCAUGGGGAGCGAACAGGAUUAGAAACCCGGU